This 328-nucleotide ribosomal RNA is filed under the name uncultured eukaryote. Its description in RNAcentral is "partial 18S ribosomal RNA". It matches the Rfam family "Eukaryotic small subunit ribosomal RNA", at positions 1470 to 1796 of the family's 1831-position model. The record is from RNAcentral.
CCCUUCGAUGUUCUGGGCUGCACGCGCGCUACAAUGACAAAGUCAACAAGUUUUUUCCUUGCUCGAGAGGGCUGGGUAAUCUCUAAAACUUUGUCGUACCAAGGAUCGCUGAUUGCAACUAUUCGGCGUGAAUCAGGAAUGCCUUGUAACUACAAGUCAUCAGCUUGUAGUGAAUACGUCCCUGCCUUUUGUACACACCGCCCGUCGCUCCUACCAAUUGGCAUAAACGGUGAAAAGAUCGGAGAUAACUUUCGUAGGGGGUAAAAGCCCUUGGAAGACUUUAAAGUUCUUUAAAUCUCUUGUGCUAGAGGAAGGAGAAGUCGUANCA